This 180-nucleotide unclassified non-coding RNA is filed under the name uncultured fungus. RNAcentral's name for it is "sequence contains ITS1, 5.8S rRNA gene". The record is from RNAcentral. Lineage: Eukaryota; Fungi.
CCGAGGACUCGCGCCCACCCCCGUCGGUGGGCCGAACCCCCCCCGUGCGUCCCCUACCGUGUUGCCUUGGCGGGCCCGUCCCAGCGACCGUCGACGCCCACGAGCAUCGGCGAGCGCCCGCCAGAGGCCCCCAGACCCGUGCCCGUCCUGCGUCUCGUCUGAGUAGGGAGCGAAACAUCA